RNAcentral lists this ribosomal RNA (510 nucleotides) under uncultured bacterium. RNAcentral's name for it is "partial 16S ribosomal RNA". It matches the Rfam family "Bacterial small subunit ribosomal RNA", at positions 28 to 507 of the family's 1533-position model. The record is from RNAcentral.
GGCGAACGCUGGCGGCGUGCUUAACACAUGCAAGUCGAACGAAGAGCGACGGAAGCUUGCUUCUAUCAAUCUUAGUGGCGAACGGGUGAGUAACGCGUAAUCAACCUGCCCUUCAGAGGGGGACAACAGUUGGAAACGACUGCUAAUACCGCAUACGAUCUAGUCUCGGCAUCGAGGAUGGAUGAAAGGUGGCCUCUACAUGUAAGCUAUCACUGAAGGAGGGGAUUGCGUCUGAUUAGCUAGUUGGAGGGGUAACGGCCCACCAAGGCGAUGAUCAGUAGCCGGUCUGAGAGGAUGAACGGCCACAUUGGGACUGAGACACGGCCCAGACUCCUACGGGAGGCAGCAGUGGGGAAUCUUCCGCAAUGGACGAAAGUCUGACGGAGCAACGCCGCGUGAGUGAUGACGGCCUUCGGGUUGUAAAGCUCUGUUAAUCGGGACGAAAGGCCUUCUUGCGAAUAGUGAGAAGGAUUGACGGUACCGGAAGAGAAAGCCACGGCUAACUACGUG